This 447-nucleotide ribosomal RNA is filed under the name uncultured bacterium. RNAcentral's name for it is "bacterial SSU rRNA". It matches the Rfam family "Bacterial small subunit ribosomal RNA", at positions 329 to 793 of the family's 1533-position model. The record is from RNAcentral.
GGCCAGACUCCUACGGGAGGCAGCAGUGGGGAAUAUUGCACAAUGGGGGAAACCCUGAUGCAGCGACGCCGCGUGAGUGAAGAAGUAUUUCGGUAUGUAAAGCUCUAUCAGCAGGGAAGAAGUUGACGGUACCUGAGUAAGAAGCCCCGGCUAACUACGUGCCAGCAGCCGCGGUAAUGCGUAGGGGGCAAGCGUUAUCCGGAUUUACUGGGUGUAAAGGGAGCGUAGACGGCAGUGCAAGUCUGAAGUGAAAGCCCCGGGCUUAACCCGGGAACUGCUUUGGAAACUGUACGGCUGGAGUGCUGGAGAGGUAAGCGGAAUUCCUAGUGUAGCGGUGAAAUGCGUAGAUAUUAGGAGGAACACCAGUGGCGAAGGCGGCUUACUGGACAGUAACUGACGUUGAGGCUCGAAAGCGUGGGGAGCAAACAGGAUUAGAUACCCUCGUAA